RNAcentral lists this ribosomal RNA (254 nucleotides) under uncultured bacterium. Its description in RNAcentral is "partial 16S ribosomal RNA". It matches the Rfam family "Bacterial small subunit ribosomal RNA", at positions 524 to 776 of the family's 1533-position model. The record is from RNAcentral.
UACGUAGGGUGCAAGCGUUUAUCCGGAAUUAUUGGGCGUAAAGAGCUCGUAGGCGGUUUGUCACGUCUGCUGUGAAAACUGGAGGCUCAACCUCCAGCCUGCAGUGGGUACGGGCAGACUAGAGGUAGGCAGGGGAGAGCGGAACUCCUGGUGUAGCGGUGGAAUGCGCAGAUAUCAGGAAGAACACCGGUGGCGAAGGCGGGUCUCUGGGCCGAUACUGACGCUGAGGAGCGAAAGCGUGGGGAGCGAACAGG